UACGGAAGGUCCGGGCGUUAUCCGGAUUUAUUGGGUUUAAAGGGAGCGCAGGCCGGAGAUUAAGCGUGACGUGAAAUGCCGCGGCUCAACCGUGGAAGUGCGUCGAACUGGUUUCCUUGAGUGAGUGCGACGUUGGCGGAAUUCGUGGUGUAGCGGUGAAAUGCUUAGAUAUCACGAAGAACCCCGAUUGCGAAGGCAGCCAACGAGUCCUUAACUGACGCUAAUGCUCGAAGGUUCGGGUAUCGAACAG
Molecule: ribosomal RNA, 250 nt
Filed under: uncultured prokaryote
Description: partial 16S ribosomal RNA
Rfam family: Bacterial small subunit ribosomal RNA
Source: RNAcentral